RNAcentral lists this ribosomal RNA (253 nucleotides) under uncultured microorganism. RNAcentral's name for it is "partial 16S ribosomal RNA". It matches the Rfam family "Bacterial small subunit ribosomal RNA", at positions 524 to 776 of the family's 1533-position model. The record is from RNAcentral.
UACGUAGGGUGCGAGCGUUAAUCGGAUUUACUGGGCGUAAAGCGUGCGCAGGCGGCCCGUUAAGACAGGUGUGAAAUCCCUGGGCUCAACCUAGGAAUUGCGCUUGUGACUGGCGGGCUCGAGUACGGUAGAGGGGGGUGGAAUUCCUGGUGUAGCAGUGAAAUGCGUAGCGAUCAGGAGGAACACCGAUGGCGAAGGCAGCCCCCUGGGCCUGUACUGACGCUCAUGCACGAAAGCGUGGGGAGCAAACAGG